CUUUCCGAGGAGCGUUGCGACGGACCACUCUGUGUCCGCCAGGCUCGGAAGGCUUCACCAAGCAGCCGUGCGGCACAACCGCUUCGGCCCCGCUUCCUGAACGGCGCUCACGUCAC
This 116-nucleotide non-coding RNA is filed under the name Mumia flava. RNAcentral's name for it is "SAH sequence". It matches the Rfam family "SAH (S-adenosyl-L-homocysteine) riboswitch aptamer". The record is from RNAcentral. Lineage: Bacteria; Bacillati; Actinomycetota; Actinomycetes; Propionibacteriales; Nocardioidaceae.